AGAGUUUGAUCAUGGCUCAGAACGAACGCUGGCGGCGUGGAUAAGACAUGCAAGUCGAACGGAAAUUGAGCAUAGCUUGCUAAGCUCAAUUUUAGUGGCGGACGGGUUAGUAACACGUGAGAUACCUACCCUUUAGACAGGAAUAGCCCAUGGAAACGUGGAUUAAUGCCUGAUAGUCUCUACGGAGUAAAGGAUGCCUUCGGGUGUCGCUGAAGGAUGGGCUCGCGGCCUAUCAGUUUGUUGGUGAGGUAAAAGCUCACCAAGACUACGACGGGUAGCUGGUCUGAGAGGACGAUCAGCAACACUGGAACUGAGACACGGUCCAGACACCUACGGGUGGCAGCAGUCGAGAAUCAUUCACAAUGGAGGAAACUCUGAUGGUGCAACGCCGCGUGGAGGAUGACGGCCCUAGGGUUGUAAACUCCUGUCAUUGGGGAGUAAGGCUUAUUCGUUAAUAGCGUGUAAGUUUGAUAGUACCCAAAGAGGAAGGGACGGCUAACUUCGUGCCAGCAGCCGCGGUAAUACGAAGGUCCCAAGCGUUGUUCGGAAUAACUGGGCGUAAAGCGUGUGUAGGCUGCGCGGAAAGUCAAAUGUGAAAGCCAGGGGCUCAACCUCUGAACUGCAUUCGAUACUCCCGUGCUAGAGUAAUGGAGAGGUAAGUGGAAUUCUCGGUGUAGCAGUGAAAUGCGUAGAUAUCGAGAGGAACAUCAAUGGCGAAGGCAACUUACUGGACAUUUACU
RNAcentral lists this ribosomal RNA (740 nucleotides) under uncultured bacterium. Its description in RNAcentral is "bacterial SSU rRNA". It matches the Rfam family "Bacterial small subunit ribosomal RNA", at positions 8 to 741 of the family's 1533-position model. The record is from RNAcentral.